GGGCCGGUAGUUCAGUGGUAUGAAUGCCGCCCUCGCACGGCGGAAGCCCGGGGUUCAAAUCCCCGCCGGUCCACCA
This 76-nucleotide transfer RNA is filed under the name miscellaneous Crenarchaeota group archaeon SMTZ1-55. RNAcentral describes it as "tRNA-Ala". It matches the Rfam family "tRNA". From Rfam's summary of the family: Transfer RNA (tRNA) molecules are approximately 80 nucleotides in length. Their secondary structure includes four short double-helical elements and three loops (D, anti-codon, and T loops). Further hydrogen bonds mediate the characteristic L-shaped molecular structure. tRNAs have two regions of fundamental functional importance: the anti-codon, which is responsible for specific mRNA codon recognition, and the 3' end, to which the tRNAs corresponding amino acid is attached (by aminoacyl-tRNA synthetases). tRNAs cope with the degeneracy of the genetic code in two manners: having more than one tRNA (with a specific anti-codon) for a particular amino acid; and 'wobble' base-pairing, i.e. permitting non-standard base-pairing at the 3rd anti-codon position. Lineage: Archaea; Thermoproteati; Candidatus Bathyarchaeota. The record is from RNAcentral.